This 2844-nucleotide small RNA is filed under the name Cryptococcus neoformans H99. RNAcentral describes it as "Cryptococcus neoformans var. grubii H99 hypothetical RNA". The record is from RNAcentral. Lineage: Eukaryota; Fungi; Basidiomycota; Tremellomycetes; Tremellales; Cryptococcaceae.
CGGCAUAUCAACAUUUCGCAUACACAUCAUUCUACGACGCAAGCAGGCAAAAGCAAGCAACACUACCCACUCCAAUCCCAUAUAACUGCAGAAGCAAACAAGAUUGUACAGCAAACUGAGAUUAGAAGCGAUCGAAAUCCUCCCUCAUCAUCGCUCAUCACUCAUCCACUCGACUGCCCGCCAAUAACCUCUCCGUCCUAUAGCUCUCAUACAACACCUCUCUCGUCCUCGUCUUCAACGCUUUUGAAUAGUUACCUAAAACCGCUUCUCUCAACGCGAGAAAAUCAGAAUGGGCAGGAUUCAAGGCCGAUGCUUCGCCCCAUGCGAAUUUGCGCAAAGACGACGAUCCAAAGCGAUCACUAUUAACGGUGUUAUGGUCAUCACUACUGGAACGGGAACUGGGCUCGGGAAUAAAGAUACCGAAUGGUAGAGGGAGAGAUGUACUGGAAAUGGGCAAAUGGGUCGAAUCUGGCGUUGGUGGGCGGUGGUCUCCUUGCUUAUCCACGUCGACGUCCAGGUCCAUGUUGGCAUCAUCUGGAUCUUCACCUUUUUCUCUAAUCGAAUCGUGCUGUUUCACGGGUCGGUCAAAUCAAAUAUCAGCUCUUGUCCUCUCAUCUUGGGUGGCAUAGCUCAAAAUAACUGACCUGGAGAGACUCAUCGUCCCCCGUUCGGAACACUCCAAACCCUUUCCCUGGCGUUCGUGCAAACGCAGCUGUCAAAUCCCUGUUCACCGCCGCCUUGACAUCUUCGAGUCCAUCGAUCGUCAAAGAAUCUGUAUGCGACAAAACAGGCAGGACAUUGGCUCGUUUUUCGAGUUGGCGAAUCUUUUUUUGUCCGCCGCAUGCAUCGUUAGCUGUGACAUGUAAGGAACAGAGAGUGAUGGAGCUUACAAUAUCAAUCUCGGCGGUCAGAAGUCGAGGCUCCAAACCACCUUUGGGAGUGUCUUUCCUUUCCGAAUCUAGCUCCUCACCUUGUUGACUUUUUGGCUCAUCGUCAAACAGUCCCAAGCAGGACCAAUCAACUUCUUUCGCUCUCGGUUCUUUCGGGUACAACACGUCCCUUGCGUCAAUGAGAUAAAUCACUACCAAAAUCAUUCUUCCAUUAGCCCUUCCUCUGCUCCGCACCAUCCGGAGAACGAUCCCACUUACCAAGAUGCACCAAACCUUCUUCCGCACCCACCCGCCUCCUCACCUUUCUCUCCUCCCUCAACGUAUACUCAAACCUCUCCUCCACAAUAUUCAACAAUCCCUUCACAUUCCUCUCAUUCUCCCCUUCCUUGGCUGCCACUUGGUCUUCUCCCAGGGAGAGAUCGAGCCCCGGCGUAUCAAUCACGCGGAGAAGAAGACGGUCAGAGAUGGUGGAGAGAACGGUGUAGGCCGUUGGUUUGGUUGUUGGUGCAGGGCGAUGCGGCUGGGGGUGGACUGGUUUUUGCGUUUGCGUUUGAGUUUGCCCUUGGUCUUGUUCCGGUUGUGGGAGAGAGUUGAUCAAAAAGUUGAUAAAACUAUUUUCAUGAAUGUAAGCCUACAAACGAAACCUAGGGGGGCGGAUAUCCCGGCUCUUUUUUUGAAAUCGACUUGCCUAGUUUUUCCAGCACCUUUCCUACCGGCAACUACGAUAUUCAUCUUCUCCGCCGCUCCCUUUUUCCUCGUCUUCCUUCUCGAAAUCACACUCGGCAUGCUCUCUCUCACUCCUCUCGUCCCCACCCCCAUUUCUGCGAACGUGCCUCCUCUAUCCCAAACCGCAUGGCUCAUCCUGAAAUCCCCAUCCUUCCACCCGCCAGAAAACGGGUUCACCACCUUGUUUGGCAUGAACGGUCUGUGAAACUGGACUUCGUUCCCGACGAAGGAUGGGGUUCGGUUUCGAGUUUGGAUCGUAUUCCCAAGUCCAAUCCCACUCGCUCUCGCGCUCGGACUCGUCAUGCACAAUCCUUGCUGGUCUUGGUGCUGUUGUUUUUGUUUCGGUGAACAACAAAGAACCAUACCAACCCCACCUCCUUUUGGAGUACGUUUAGAACUCGGAUCAGACUUGGAGUCGGGCGUAUGCACCGCAGGAAAAGUAAACGUAAACGGCGGCACUUCUUCCCAGGAUGAAGGGUCCAACAGCGGGGUCGUCAAGUCUGGUAACGACAGAGAGUGCCGGACGAUGGUGUUGUUAUGUGGGUUUUUGCGGAGUGGCUGCUGCUGUGCCGAGGAGGUCUGUCGUAGUUUUUUGCGGAGGAAAGAGGGGGGCAUUUUGAGGAUGAAUUGGAGGUUAGUGGGAAAAGAUGAUGAGUAGACGUUUCUUUAUUCUGAAUAUCGAUGCGAAGGGGGGAAUGAAAGGUACUUGCUUAAUUGCACACAGCAACACACGGCCCAAGCUCACUUCCGAUGGAAAUCAAACAACGCAUUAUCCAGCGCCUACCACCACUCAUGAAAUACGGGUUUUAUGCUUGUGACUUUGUAUUGAAAAUGACUAUCGCUCGUUUUCUGCAAAGGUUUGGAGCGAAAAAAAAAGAGGUUGAAGGGAAAGAAAGAACGAUUCGAAAGCAGGCGCGCUCAGCUUUUCACUCUCAAUCACUGUGCUUAUAUUUUCCACACGACAGUCUUCACAGCAUACACACAAACUGGCACCAUAUCAUAACAUUUCACUAGCAUCUCAUCUUCGUAUAGUGUAUAGUAAUGGUCCAUAUAUCUGAACCAGACAUCAAGACGUAGCCAAUCAUUCCAUCUCAUUCCUCGUAGUCAUGAUAAUCGUCCAUAUUAUUAUUCAGCGAUAAUGAUAAUAAAGAAGUCCAUCUCCCUAUAAACACAUUUCGUACCAGUGAUUAUCAGUCACCAUAUACAUGUCCGAUACGCACUGAAUAAU